AUUGAACGCUGGCGGCAUGCUUUACACAUGCAAGUCGAACGGUAACAGGCCUUCGGGUGCUGACGAGUGGCGAACGGGUGAGUAAUGCAUCGGAACGUGCCCAAUCGUGGGGGAUAACGUAGCGAAAGUUACGCUAAUAUCGCAUAAGCCCUGAGGGGGAAAGCAGGGGAUCGCAAGACCUUGCGCGAAUGGAGCGGCCGAUGUCAGAUUAGCUAGUUGGUGAGGUAAAGGCUUACCAAGGCGACGAUCUGUAGCGGGUCUGAGAGGAUGAUCCGCCACACUGGAACUGAGACACGGUCCAGACUCCUACGGGAGGCAGCAGUGGGGAAUUUUGGACAAUGGGCGCAAGCCUGAUCCAGCCAUGCCGCGUGAGUGAAGAAGGCCU
This 385-nucleotide ribosomal RNA is filed under the name uncultured bacterium. Its description in RNAcentral is "bacterial SSU rRNA". It matches the Rfam family "Bacterial small subunit ribosomal RNA", at positions 30 to 417 of the family's 1533-position model. The record is from RNAcentral.